AAGAGUGAAGGGGGAAUGGGGUUCUGAGAUCUAUAUUCUUUCAACCUAGCAAUGCUCUCAAAACAAUGUUAGAUAUUACUAAACAAUCCGGAUUCAUUAUGUGCAAGAGUACUAAAGGCGAAAUAUUUCCCUAAUGGUAGCUUAUUAUAGGCUACUCUAAAAAAGGGGGCUUCAUUUACCUGGCAGAGUAUUAUGAAGGGAUUGGAGACAUUUAAAUUGGGGUACAUAUGGCGAAUUGGGUCAGGAGAGAAGGUGAACAUCUAGAGUGACCCCUGGGUUCCAAGUAGUGCAAAUAGAAUGGUGAUUACACCACGUGGUCACACUGUUCUGACUACAGUUAAUGAUCUCAUAGACCCUCUAAGUGGAAACUGGGACGAAGAACUGAUUACAUCUAUUUUCAACCCCGUCGAUGUUUGAAGGAUCCUGGAAAUUCCACUUAAUUACAAUGCUUUUGAGGACUUCAUAGACUGGCACCCGGAUCGAAGAGGUAUUUUCUCAGUCCGCUCAGCUUAUCACACUAAAUGGAUUCGGACUUUUAGGGCACAUACAAAUGUACUAGCGCAGCCAGGGAGGUCCAGCACACCAGCUGUGUGGAGUAUAUUGUGGAAGCUUCAAAUUCCACGUAAAAUUCUAAUCUUUUGCUGGCGGGCACUACAUGGAAUUUUACCCCUAAAGUCCAUACUUACUAAUAGGCAUAUUGGGACAACUGGAGCAUGUCCUAUAUGCCACAGUGCGGCUGAAGAUGUGAAGCACCUGCUGUUUGAAUGCUCUCAUGCUACAGAGCUUUGGUCACGCCUUGGCAUCUUGGAUAUUAUC
RNAcentral lists this ribosomal RNA (816 nucleotides) under Triticum aestivum (bread wheat). RNAcentral's name for it is "partial small subunit ribosomal RNA". The record is from RNAcentral. Lineage: Eukaryota; Viridiplantae; Streptophyta; Magnoliopsida; Poales; Poaceae.